Molecule: small nucleolar RNA, 71 nt
Filed under: Nematostella vectensis (starlet sea anemone)
Lineage: Eukaryota; Metazoa; Cnidaria; Anthozoa; Actiniaria; Edwardsiidae
Description: Small nucleolar RNA SNORD18
Rfam family: Small nucleolar RNA SNORD18
About the family: U18 is a member of the C/D class of snoRNA which contain the C (UGAUGA) and D (CUGA) box motifs. It is encoded in introns of ribosomal protein L1 in Xenopus and human, and in introns of elongation factor 1 beta in yeast.
Source: Rfam by way of RNAcentral
AGUACAUGAUGAGUGUCAACUUCAUGGUCCGUGUUAUUGAUAUACAGUUAUAACAGUGAAGUUCUGAGUUG